CCUACGGGGGGCAGCAGUGGGGGAUAUUGCACAAUGGGGGAAACCCUGAUGCAGCGACGCCGCGUGUGGGAAGACGGUCUUCUGGAUUGUAAACCACUGUCCCCAGGGACGAAAAUGACGGUACCUGGGGAGUAAGCUCCGGCUAACUACGUGCCAGAAGCCGCGGUAAUACGUAGGGAGCAAGCGUUGUCCGGAAUUACUGGGUGUAAAGGGAGCGUAGGCGGGGAUGCAAGUUGGGGGUCAAAACUACCGGCUCAACCGAUAGUCGCACUUAAAACUGCAGCUCUUGAGUGAAGUAGAGGCAGGCGGAAUGCGUAGUGUAGCGGUGAAAUGCGUAGAUAUUAGGAGGAACACCAGUGGCGAAGGCGGCCUGCUGGGCUUUUACUGACGCUGAGGCUCGAAAGUGUGGGGAGCAAACAGGAUUAGAUACCCUUGUAGUC
This 440-nucleotide ribosomal RNA is filed under the name uncultured bacterium. RNAcentral describes it as "partial 16S ribosomal RNA". It matches the Rfam family "Bacterial small subunit ribosomal RNA", at positions 338 to 795 of the family's 1533-position model. The record is from RNAcentral.